AGCCCAUGAUGAUGACAUAACCUUAAUAUUUCCUUAAAUCACUUUUAUACUUUGUAGAGGGAAUCUUCAUCCUUAUUAGUAAGACUAGUAAUUUGAUUUAUUAGUU
Molecule: small nucleolar RNA, 106 nt
Organism: Vicia villosa (hairy vetch)
Lineage: Eukaryota; Viridiplantae; Streptophyta; Magnoliopsida; Fabales; Fabaceae
Source: RefSeq, a predicted model, not a curated record